GAUGAACGCUGGCGGCGUGCCUAAUACAUGCAAGUCGAGCGAACAGAUAAGGAGCUUGCUCCUUUGAAGUUAGCGGCGGACGGGUGAGUAACACGUGGGUCACCUCCCUAUAAGACUGGGAUCACUUCGGGAAACCGGAGCUAAUACCGGAUAACAUUUAGAACCGCAUGGUUCUAAAGUGAAUGAUGGUUUUGCUAUCACUUCUCGAUGGACCCGCGCCGUAUUAGCUAGUUGGUAAGUUAACGGCUUACCAAGGCGACGAUACGUAGCCGACCUGGGAGGGUGAUCGGCCACACUGGAAAGGGAACAGGGUCAAGACGCCUAAGGGAGGCAGCAGUAGGGAAUCGUCCGCAAUGGGCGAAAGCCUGACGGAGCAAGGCCGCGUGAGUGAUGAAGGGGUUCGGCUCGUAAAACUCGGUUAUUAGGGAAGAACAAAUGUGUAAGGAAAUGUGCACAGCGUGACGGUACCGAAUCAGAAAGCCACGGCUAACUACGUG
RNAcentral lists this ribosomal RNA (497 nucleotides) under uncultured bacterium. RNAcentral's name for it is "partial 16S ribosomal RNA". It matches the Rfam family "Bacterial small subunit ribosomal RNA", at positions 28 to 507 of the family's 1533-position model. The record is from RNAcentral.